GCUUCUCUGAUACAACGGGUUUCACAAACUUCUAAUCCGUAGGUCAGAGGUUCGAAUCCUCUCAGGCGUGCCA
Molecule: transfer RNA, 73 nt
Filed under: Geobacter sulfurreducens
Lineage: Bacteria; Pseudomonadati; Thermodesulfobacteriota; Desulfuromonadia; Geobacterales; Geobacteraceae
Description: tRNA-Arg
Source: RNAcentral